This 857-nucleotide long non-coding RNA is filed under the name Ananas comosus (pineapple). RNAcentral describes it as "long non-coding RNA (ACOM_LNC015253)". The record is from RNAcentral. Lineage: Eukaryota; Viridiplantae; Streptophyta; Magnoliopsida; Poales; Bromeliaceae.
UAGUUUUCGAUAAUAGAGCUUUCGAAUCGACUAUCCAUACUGUUAAAUAUUAUAUAGAGUAUUUAAAACAUCUAAAAAUAAAAUUUCAUAAUUUUUUGAAAUCAUUUAUCUUACGAUCAAACUAUUUUAAAAUUGACAAUUUUUAAUUGCCAGUAUGGGAUACUUGCUAGUUAAUUUAACGGUGUAAAAGAAUAAGAAUCGGUUAAAUUUUUGAUAGAAACUUUUGUUCAUUAUCUAGAUAAAAAUCAACAAUUCCGAUGUUAAAUUAAGAGAUCCGAUCAUCCAAUUUUAGGACGUCAUUCCAUUUUGACCUGUAGUGUUCCUGAGCUUUGGAUAGGAUUGGCUUCAGUAUUAGUGACUGGUCGACAUCUCUGGAGAGUGUCGGACUGAACCNAAUAUUUAAAUCUAUUAGAGAUAAAUUAAGAUUUAAAUAUUAAUUAGAGUAUAAAUUUAACUAGAUUAGGAUAAAUAUUUAAAUCUAUUGUAGAUAAAUAAAAUAUAGAUUUAAAUAUUAUUUAGAGUAGGAAUCCUAAUUGGACUAGGAUUCACGUACAUUUUAGAUGAUGCAUUAUAAAAGCACUCUUUGGGAUGCUUUUGGUGGAGAGAGUACAGUGAGAGAGAGUGCCUUCUUACGUGAAACCGUACUAGGAGAGAGAAAGUCAUGGUUGAGUGCACCUAAUGCACAGGUGCACUUGGAGAGUUGUCUUAUUUAUGGAUUUAUAGAAGACGAGAGAAGGAUAGAAGAGAUUCAGAAAGAGGGCUCGAGUUGCAGCUACUCUAUUGCAGAAGAGUAGUCGAAUAUAAACUUCUUUUAUUUAAUGAAUCUUAUUCUACCCGCAUAUUUUUUGUGUUUAGUU